AGACCCGAAACCCGGUGAUCUAGCCAUGGGCAGGUUGAAGGUUGGGUAACACUAACUGGAGGACCGAACCGACUAAUGUUGAAAAAUUAGCGGAUGACCUGUGGCUGGGGGUGAAAGGCCAAUCAAACCGGGAGAUAGCUGGUUCUCCCCGAAAGCUAUUUAGGUAGCGCCUCGUGAAUUCAUCUCCGGGGGUAGAGCACUGUUUCGGCUAGGGGGCCAUCCCGGCUUACCAACCCGAUGCAAACUGCGAAUACCGGAGAAUGUUAUCACGGGAGACACACGGCGGGUGCUAACGUCCGUCGUGAAGAGGGAAACAACCCAGACCGCCAGCUAAGGUCCCAAAGUCAUGGUUAAGUGGGAAACGAUGUGGGAAGGCCCAGACAGCCAGGAUGUUGGCUUAGAAGCAGCCAUCAUUUAAAGAAAGCGUAAUAGCUCACUGGUCGAGUCGGCCUGCGCGGAAGAUGUAACGGGGCUAAACCAUGCACCGAAGCUGCGGCAGCGACACUGUGUGUUGUUGGGUAGGGGAGCGUUCUGUAAGCCUGCGAAGGUGGCCUGUGAGGGUUGCUGGAGGUAUCAGAAGUGCGAAUGCUGACAUAAGUAACGAUAAAGCGGGUGAAAAGCCCGCUCGCCGGAAGACCAAGGGUUCCUGUCCAACGUUAAUCGGGGCAGGGUGAGUCGACCCCUAAGGCGAGGCCGAAAGGCGUAGUCGAUGGGAAACGGGUUAAUAUUCCCGUACUUGGUGUUACUGCGAAGGGGGGACGGAGAAGGCUAUGUUGGCCGGGCGACGGUUGUCCCGGUUUAAGCGUGUAGGUGUGUGUUCCAGGUAAAUCCGGUUCACUUUAACACUGAGGCGUGAUGACGAGGCACUACGGUGCUGAAGCAACAAAUGCCCUGCUUCCAGGAAAAGCCUCUAAGCAUCAGGUAACAUCAAAUCGUACCCCAAACCGACACAGGUGGUCAGGUAGAGAAUACCAAGGCGCUUGAGAGAACUCGGGUGAAGGAACUAGGCAAAAUGGUGCCGUAACUUCGGGAGAAGGCACGCUGACACGUAGGUGAAGUGAUUUACUCAUGGAGCUGAAGUCAGUCGAAGAUACCAGCUGGCUGCAACUGUUUAUUAAAAACACAGCACUGUGCAAACACGAAAGUGGACGUAUACGGUGUGACGCCUGCCCGGUGCCGGAAGGUUAAUUGAUGGGGUCAGCGCAAGCGAAGCUCCUGAUCGAAGCCCCGGUAAACGGCGGCCGUAACUAUAACGGUCCUAAGGUAGCGAAAUUCCUUGUCGGGUAAGUUCCGACCUGCACGAAUGGCGUAAUGAUGGCCAGGCUGUCUCCACCCGAGACUCAGUGAAAUUGAACUCGCUGUGAAGAUGCAGUGUACCCGCGGCAAGACGGAAAGACCCCGUGAACCUUUACUAUAGCUUGACACUGAACAUUGAGCCUUGAUGUGUAGGAUAGGUGGGAGGCUUUGAAGUGUGGACGCCAGUCUGC
This 1487-nucleotide ribosomal RNA is filed under the name Salmonella enterica subsp. enterica serovar Newport. RNAcentral's name for it is "partial 23S ribosomal RNA". It matches the Rfam family "Bacterial large subunit ribosomal RNA", at positions 711 to 2179 of the family's 2925-position model. Lineage: Bacteria; Pseudomonadati; Pseudomonadota; Gammaproteobacteria; Enterobacterales; Enterobacteriaceae. The record is from RNAcentral.